This 21-nucleotide unclassified non-coding RNA is filed under the name Mus musculus (house mouse). RNAcentral describes it as "oocyte_clustered_small_RNA10143". Lineage: Eukaryota; Metazoa; Chordata; Mammalia; Rodentia; Muridae. The record is from RNAcentral.
CCAUCUUUGAUGACCUCUGCU